This 781-nucleotide ribosomal RNA is filed under the name uncultured archaeon. RNAcentral describes it as "bacterial SSU rRNA". It matches the Rfam family "Archaeal small subunit ribosomal RNA", at positions 6 to 765 of the family's 1478-position model. The record is from RNAcentral.
GGUUGAUCCUGCCGGACCCCACUGCUAUCGAGAUGGGACUAAGGUAUGCUAGUCGAACGACCGGAACUAUGUCUGGGAGUGGCACACUGCUCAGUAACACGUAGCUAACCUACCCUUAGGACGUGGAUACCCCCGAGAAAUUGGGGUUAAUCCGCGAUAGAUGUAAUGUCCUGGAAUGGUAUUACGUCUAAAGGUAUUUCAUACAUGUUUGAAAUAUGCCUGAGGAUGGGGCUGCGGCCGAUCAGGCUGUUGGUGAGGUAAUGGCUCACCAAACCUUUGACCGGUACGGGCCAUGAGAGUGGUAGCCCGGAGAUGGACACUGAGACAAGGGUCCAGGCCCUAAGGGGCGCAGCAACCGCGAAACCUCCACAAUGCACUCACGUGCGAUGGGGCUAUCUCGAGUGCCACCUGAUGAAGGUGGCUUUUCCUAGGUCUUCAAAGCCUUGGGAAUAAGAGGGGGGCAAGACUGGUGUCAGCCGCCGCGGUAACACCAGCCCCUCGAGUGGUGGGGAUGAUUAUUUGGCCCAAAGCGUCCGUAGCCGGCCGAGCAAGUCUUCCGUUAAAUCCAGCGUCUCAAGCGUUGGACUGCGGGAGAUACUACACGGCUAGAGAGUGGGAGAGGUCAGCGGUAUUCUGGGGGUAGGGGCGAAAUCCUUUGAUCCCCGGAGGACCACCAGUGGCGAAGGCUGCUGACUAAACACGUCUGACGGUCAGGGACGAAAAGCUGGGGUAGCGAACCGGGAUUAGAUACCCGGGGUAGUCCCAGCCGUAAACGAUGCAU